GCGGAAAGGCCCGCAAGGGCACUCGAGCGGCGUAAGGGACAGUAAUGUGUAGGUACGUACCCCUGGAUCUGGGAUAGCUGCGGGAAACUGCAAUUAAUACCAGAUAAUGUCUUCGGACCAAAGGUGUGACUCCGUCUGGGGAGCGGCCUGCAUCCUAUUAGCUAGUUGGUGUGGUAAUGGCGCACCAAGGCAAAGAUGGGUAGCAGGUGUGAGAGCACGACCUGCGUCACUGGGACUGAGACACUGCCCAGACACCUACGGGUGGCUGCAGUCGAGGAUCUUCGGCAAUGGGCGCAAGCCUGACCGAGCGACGCCGCGUGUGGGAUGAAGGCCUUCGGGUUGUAAACCACUGUCAGAGGGGAUGAAAUGCCGUUGGGCACUCUCAACGGUUUGACAGAUCCUCAGAGGAAGGGUGGGCUAAGUUCG
Molecule: ribosomal RNA, 426 nt
Filed under: uncultured Planctomycetota bacterium
Lineage: Bacteria; Pseudomonadati; Planctomycetota
Description: bacterial SSU rRNA
Rfam family: Bacterial small subunit ribosomal RNA
Source: RNAcentral